Molecule: non-coding RNA, 68 nt
Organism: Cordylochernes scorpioides
Lineage: Eukaryota; Metazoa; Arthropoda; Arachnida; Pseudoscorpiones; Chernetidae
Source: the annotation of a GenBank genome assembly
GCAUCGGUGGUUCAGUGGUAGAAUGCUCGCCUGCCACGCGGGCGGCCCCGAUUCCCGGCGCCGAUGCA